RNAcentral lists this ribosomal RNA (514 nucleotides) under uncultured bacterium. RNAcentral describes it as "partial 16S ribosomal RNA". It matches the Rfam family "Bacterial small subunit ribosomal RNA", at positions 29 to 523 of the family's 1533-position model. The record is from RNAcentral.
AGCGAACGCUGGCGGCGUGCUUAACACAUGCAAGUCGAACGUGAAAUGUAGCAAUACAGAGUAAAGUGGCGUACGGGUGAGUAACACGUGGGUAAUCUACCGAAGAGCCCGGAAUAACCGGCCGAAAGGCUGGCUAAUACUGGAUAGUUCAAGCCUGUUGUAAUGGCAGGAUUGGGAAAGGGAGCGAGUAAUCGCCUUCACUUUUUGAUGAGCCCGCGUCUGAUUAGCUAGUUGGUAGGGUAAUGGCCUACCAAGGCGAAGAUCAGUAGCUGGUCUGAGAGGAUGAUCAGCCACACUGGAACUGAAACACGGUCCAGACUCCUACGGGAGGCAGCAGUGGGGAAUCUUGCGCAAUGGACGAAAGUCUGACGCAGCCACGCCGCGUGAGUGAAGAAGGCCUUCGGGUUGUAAAGCUCUGUCGGAGGGGACAAAAACCAUCUAGGUUAAUAGCCUAGGUGCUUGAUGGUACCCUUAAAGGAAGCACCGGCUAACUUCGUGCCAGCAGCCGCAGUAA